This 483-nucleotide long non-coding RNA is filed under the name Heterocephalus glaber (naked mole-rat). Its description in RNAcentral is "lncRNA (ENSHGLG00000024954.2)". The record is from RNAcentral. Lineage: Eukaryota; Metazoa; Chordata; Mammalia; Rodentia; Bathyergidae.
GCCCAACCCCAUCCCCACAUCCAGCCCCAACCCUGUCUCCCACCGCACACCUUAUCCCUGUCUGCAACCCCACCCCACCCCAAAUUCUAGUCCACAUAAUUCCUAGCUGCAUCCCUGAAGCUGUGCCCAAAUCCAACCCCCUUCCGGCCCAGACCAGUCAUCAGGAACAGGAAGAUGCCGAUCCAUGCCAGGAAGCCACGUCAUCUCUCUGAACCUCAGUCUCCUCGUCUGUAGAGUGGACAUACUCCUAGGACUGUCUCAGGGGGCCGUCAUGUAGAGGCAGUCUGGCACCUGCAGUGCCUCAUUUGAUAUGUCUUCAGUCUUGGAAGUUUGGCUAACUCAUGUUGUCCUACACAUGCUGCCUGAGAGUUCUACCAGGGGAGUGCAUUACUCAUACACUUUUUUUUCCUCAUACACUUUUGACUGGAGAACGAUUCUUAGAACAGAGUGUGCAGCUUUAGGAGGGACAUACAUGGAUCAGUG